Molecule: ribosomal RNA, 492 nt
Filed under: uncultured bacterium
Lineage: Bacteria
Description: partial 16S ribosomal RNA
Rfam family: Bacterial small subunit ribosomal RNA
Source: RNAcentral
AGUGAACGCUGGCGGUAGGCCUAACACAUGCAAGUCGAACGGCAGCACAGUAAGAGCUUGCUCUUACGGGUGGCGAGUGGCGGACGGGUGAGGAAUACAUCGGAAUCUACUUUUUCGUGGGGGAUAACGUAGGGAAACUUACGCUAAUACCGCAUACGACCUACGGGUGAAAGCAGGGGAUCUUCGGACCUUGCGCGAUUGAAUGAGCCGAUGUCGGAUUAGCUAGUUGGCGGGGUAAAGGCCCACCAAGGCGACGAUCCGUAGCUGGUCUGAGAGGAUGAUCAGCCACACUGGAACUGAGACACGGUCCAGACUCCUACGGGAGGCAGCAGUGGGGAAUAUUGGACAAUGGGCGCAAGCCUGAUCCAGCCAUACCGCGUGGGUGAAGAAGGCCUUCGGGUUGUAAAGCCCUUUUGUUAGGAAAGAAAAGCAGCGGGUUAAUACCCCGCUGUUCUGACGGUACCCAAAGAAUAAGCACCGGCUAACUUCGUG